AUGAACACGUUUGAUAAUAUUAACAACAUAAACAAUUUUGGAAAUACUAACAAUGUUACUGGUUUGAACAAUGUUACUGGUUUGAACAAUGCUACCGGUUUGAACAAUGCUACCGGUUUUAACGAUGUUACCGGUUUGAACAAUGCCACCGGUUUGAACAAUGCUACUGGUUUGAAAAAUAUAAAUUACACAAGUAAUCGAACAGACGUACAUAAUUUAUUAGAUAUAGGUACAUUAAAUAGAAACAAUAAUAUGACACAAAAAAAAGUCGAAUUUGGUGAUGAUAUAAAUAAUGAUUUAUUACUUUAUAAAAAAGGUCUUGGUGGGGGUAGUAUUAUACCUCCAUUAACUGAUCACCAAAUGUUCAACACCAAUCAAACUAUGAUAAAUAACAUUGCUACAAAUAGUAGUGGUACAAUUAGUGGUGGUACAAUUAGUGGUGGUACAAUUAGUNNNNNNNNNNGUGGUACAAUUAGUGGUGGUACAAAUAAUAAUGUUAUGAGUUCGGACAGUUAUGCACACAUACUGAAGCAAUUAUGUACACCCAUAAAAAGUAGAUCCCAAAGUAAUCAAAUAAAUGAACGAUUAAAUGAAAAUUUAUUUAUAGAGGAAGAUGAAAAUGAAAAUAAUAAAAAUGAUGGUACUACAUUUAUUAAUAAAAGAGGUAAGUUGAGUGGUAAUAUUGGUACAACUGGUAUUGCUAGUAAUAAUGACGAAAUUGUUGAAUCGGCUGGAGCUAUUAAUACAAUAAAUACUGGUUGUGCUUUUACUACAGGUACUACUAAUAUAGACAAACUAUCUCAUAAAACAAACAAAAAUUUAACAAAUGGUACCCUAGUAAAUGCCAACUUAAACAAUAAUAUAUAUAAUUUAAAUACAAAUAUAUAUAAUAACCCAUUUAAUAAUAAUAACCACCCAUUUAAUAAUAAUAAUAACCUAUUUAAUAAUAAUAACCCAUUUAAUAAUAACCCAUUUAAUAAUAACACAUUUAAUAAUAACCCAUUUAAUAAUAAUAAUACAAAUUCUGUUAAAGACACAUGUAGUGUUCAUACUAAUAGCAGUAGUAGCAACAACAGCAAUAUAUAUGAAUUAAAAAAAUUAAAUAUGUUUGUUGAUAACAAAAUAAAAGAAGAAAAUAAAAUGGAAAAUAAAACAAAUAAAAUAAAAAAAAAUAAAGUAAAAGUUUAUUUUUAUAUUAAUCCUGCAUAUAUUAUAGAACCAUUAAAACGUAAAAUCUAUCAAAAUAUGUCCAUUUUUAUAGAAAAUUUAAUUAGUGACAUAAAAGCAAUUGAAAAUAAAAAUAGAGCAGAAAUUUUAUCAAAUUUGCAUAAUACACCAUGGUUUUGUAUGAUAUUUGACUUUGAUGGUAUAAGUAAAUUAUUAAACGUUUUUAAUAAAUAUUUAAUUUAUUCUGACUCGUUAAUAAUACCUGAUAGUUUAAUAGCGAAUAAAUUAGAAGAAAAUUACCAUAAUAACAUUACUAAUAACAAUGAAACAGAAAAAAAUAAUAAUAACAAUUAUAACAAUUAUAACAAUUAUAACAAUUAUAAUAAUAAUAAUAACGAAACAAAUGACAUAGGGUGCCUAAAUAGUGGUGAGGUAAAAGAGACAGAUGAUCCUAAUAUGGAUAAAACUAAUACAAUCAUAAAUAAUAACAGAAGUAAUGCUAAUAGAAAGGGUAAAGAUAUGUAUAUACAAACAAUUAAUUAUUUUUUUAAAAAAAGUGAUAAAAUUGAUUUAUUAAAUAAAAAAAUAUUUGAUUAUGAAAAUAGUAUUAUUGAAAAUGCAGAAAAACUAAAUUAUUUAAAAGAAUUAUGUAAUGGUCUAAAUGAACGAAUUAAUAUGAAAAAAAAAAAUUUAUUUUACUAUUAG
Molecule: long non-coding RNA, 1872 nt
Filed under: Piliocolobus tephrosceles (Ugandan red Colobus)
Lineage: Eukaryota; Metazoa; Chordata; Mammalia; Primates; Cercopithecidae
Description: lncRNA (ENSPTEG00000023556.1)
Source: RNAcentral